AAAGUGUCAAAUUAUCAGCAGAUCUUAGCUAUAAUCCAGAUAUUUGCUGUGAAGUUGCAGGAAUUAGAUCAGUUAAAUAUCUAGGUAUCAAGUUAUUUACUAUUUUAAAAAACAAUACAAGUUUAUGCACAGACCGCCUUGUUUUUAGUUCCUCCCAUGCAAACUCAUCCAAUAAUUUCCUUUGACUUGUGCCUUUCAUAGCACCAGUAACCAAUUUAGCAGCUUCAUACUGAACUGAUUCUAAUAAGUCAUUAAGACCAUCAGAACAAUCAUCCCAAACAACAUCAGCAUACUCCAUUUUAGGUCGAAUUAGACAUUUAUAGAGCACUACCAAUGUAUCCCUAUUAAUUUUAAAUUUUAGUCCUUUCAAUAAAUUUAGAGUUUUUGAAGCUUUCCCAUAAAUUGUCAUAACAUGUUCUCCCCAAGACAAAUUAGA
Molecule: non-coding RNA, 436 nt
Organism: Paramuricea clavata
Lineage: Eukaryota; Metazoa; Cnidaria; Anthozoa; Malacalcyonacea; Plexauridae
Source: the annotation of a GenBank genome assembly